This 1073-nucleotide ribosomal RNA is filed under the name marine bacterium SIMO-4489. Its description in RNAcentral is "bacterial SSU rRNA". It matches the Rfam family "Bacterial small subunit ribosomal RNA", at positions 150 to 1263 of the family's 1533-position model. The record is from RNAcentral.
GCGGAAACGCAUGCUAAUACCGCAUACGCCCUGAGGGGGAAAGGAGGGGACUUUUCGGAGCCUUCCGCUAUUAGAUGAGCCUGCGUGAGAUUAGCUAGUUGGUAGGGUAAAGGCCUACCAAGGCGACGAUCUCUAACUGGUCUGAGAGGAUGACCAGUCACACUGGGACUGAGACACGGGCCAGACUCCUACGGGAGGCAGCAGUGGGGAAUAUUGGACAAUGGGCGGAAGCCUGAUCCAGCCAUGCCGCGUGUGUGAAGAAGGCCUUAGGGUUGUAAAGCACUUUCAGGGGUGAGGAAGGGUGACUGGCUAAUAUCCAGUUAUCUUGACGUUAGCCCCAGAAGAAGCACCGGCUAACUCUGUGCCAGCAGCCGCGGUAAUACAGAGGGUGCAAGCGUUAAUCGGAAUUACUGGGCGUAAAGCGCGCGUAGGUGUUUUGGUUAAGUCGGAUGUGAAAUCCCAGGGCUCAACCUUUGGAAUGGCACCCGAUACUGGCAGGCUAGAGUACGGUAGAGGGGUGUGGAAUUUCCUGUGUAGCGGUGAAAUGCGUAGAUAUAAGGAAGGAACAUCAGUGGGCGAAGGCGACACCCUGGACUGAUACUGACACUGAGGUGCGAAAGCGUGGGGGAGCAAACAGGAUUAGAUACCCUGGUUGUAAUGACUUAGUGGCGCAGCUAACGCAAUAAGUAGACCGCCUGGGGAGUACGGCGCAAGGUUAAAACUCAAAUGAAUUGACGGGGCCCGCACAAGCGGGGAGCAUGUGGUUUAAUUCGAAGCAACGCGAGAAUCUUACUACUCUUGACAUCCAGUGAACUUAGCAGAGAUGCUUUGUGCUUCGGGAACACUGAGACAGUGCUGCAUGCUGUCGUCAGCUCGUGUUGUGAAUGUUUGGGUUAAGUCCGUAACGAGGCCACCCUUAUUCUUAUUUGCAGCACUUCGGUGGAACUUAAGAGACGUGCGGUGACAAUACAGGAGGAGAGAAGGGGACGACGAUCAAAUCAUCUAUGGCUUUUCAAUAUAGGGCUACCACCGCUUCAAUUGCGCUCAAGGUGGAACUUCGGAGGUAAGAAUAC